GUGGAAAAUAUCAAAAAGCCUCUUUGGCUCAUUUCAGGAUGAAGGUCACAUCCAUAUUAAUUGCCCUGAUAAUGAAACCUUCCUAGAGGCCACCUGUCAGAACAUCUGGAGCUCUUGUUGUUACUGCUUCCAACAAGGCACCAUUUCCAUGCCUACGCCGACUUCAAAGACCCAUCUUCAAGGUUGAUGAUAUUGUUCUUUGUUUACUUCAUUUUAACCGGAAAGAAUCAGAAGAAAGUAGCGUUGAAAAGAAUUUGAAAUUCUUGUGCACUUCUGAAGUCCCUCUCACAGGUAAAUAGUAACUUAUUUAUGACUUCAAGCUUUUAU
This 327-nucleotide long non-coding RNA is filed under the name Macaca mulatta (Rhesus monkey). RNAcentral's name for it is "lncRNA (ENSMMUG00000059676.1)". The record is from RNAcentral. Lineage: Eukaryota; Metazoa; Chordata; Mammalia; Primates; Cercopithecidae.